Molecule: unclassified non-coding RNA, 226 nt
Filed under: uncultured fungus
Lineage: Eukaryota; Fungi
Description: sequence contains ITS1, 5.8S rRNA gene
Rfam family: 5.8S ribosomal RNA (bases 178-226)
Source: RNAcentral
UCUCCGUAGGUGAACCUGCGGAGGGAUCAUUACUGAGUGAGGGCUCACGCCCGACCUCCAACCCUUUGUGAACACAUCUUGUUGCUUCGGGGGCGACCCUGCCGUCCGCGGCUGAGCGCCCCCGGGGUCAAUCAAACACUGCAUUCUCUGCGUCGGAGUUUAAAACAAAUUAAACAAAACUUUCAACAACGGAUCUCUUGGUUCUGGCAUCGAUGAAGAACGCAGC